Molecule: ribosomal RNA, 484 nt
Filed under: uncultured bacterium
Lineage: Bacteria
Description: partial 16S ribosomal RNA
Rfam family: Bacterial small subunit ribosomal RNA
Source: RNAcentral
AUUGAACGCUGGCGGCAUGCCUUACACAUGCAAGUCGAACGGCAGCGCGGACUUCGGUCUGGCGGCGAGUGGCGAACGGGUGAGUAAUACAUCGGAACGUACCCUGUUGUGGGGGAUAACUAGUCGAAAGAUUAGCUAAUACCGCAUACGACCUGAGGGUGAAAGUGGGGGACCGCAAGGCCUCACGCAGCAGGAGCGGCCGAUGUCUGAUUAGCUAGUUGGUGGGGUAAAGGCCCACCAAGGCGACGAUCAGUAGCUGGUCUGAGAGGACGAUCAGCCACACUGGGACUGGGACACGGCCCAGACUCCUACGGGAGGCAGCAGUGGGGAAUUUUGGACAAUGGGGGCAACCCUGAUCCAGCAAUGCCGCGUGUGUGAAGAAGGCCUUCGGGUUGUAAAGCACUUUUGUCCGGAAAGAAAUCGCGCUGGUUAAUACCUGGCGUGGAUGACGGUACCGGAAGAAUAAGCACCGGCUAACUACGUG